CACAUCCUAAAUUCUCAAACGCUUGUGGCUAAUGGUGGAAAGUAGAGAUCGCCCUUUUUUAGCUGCCUAAGCCAAAGAAGAGUUUAGAAGAAAGCAAGGAAUGGGAGACGAAGCAAAAGCCAAAUUAAAGAAUACAUUGAGGUAUUUCCAGUGACUUUUAAAUCAAGACUUGAAGAAAGAAAAGGAGCAAGGCACAAGAAGAUCAUACGGAACUGGGUUCCAGGUAGAAGGAACAGCACUUCAAAGGUCCCAAGUCAGGAAAGACUGAAUAUAUUCAAGGCACUGAGAGGAGCCAUAGAGGACAGAGGGCAGCAGAUGAGUGAAUGACGGCUGUGCAGCGAGGACGAGAAGGUCAGAGGGAAGCAGAUCACCUAGGAUUUUGUAGACCAUGAUGAAACAAUAAAAAAGCUUGUUUGGGGCAAUGAAGAGGUGAAAGCACACGUGAGUAAGCAAGAAAAUUGACCUAGAGGAAGUGAUCAAUCUAAACAGCAGAGAAGUAGUGCUUCUGGAAAAACCCUAAUCACACUCAUUCGCUUUGCAGUAAUGAAGUGGAAAAGGCACCUUAUCAAGACAAGGUCGGAUAUUAUUCAAUUUUUUUAUAAUUAAAAACUUGCUUCCAAGAGUACAAUAUGCCAACGGGAAUUAGAUAUUUUGAAAAUACAGUCUCUUGCAGUCGACUUUCUUUCUCUAAGUCUUAUCUGACUAGCAAUACAAUAGUGUAAAACUGCUGUCUAAUUUAAUUCAUGCUUAAAGGAACUGAUUAUUUCCUUAAGAUUAUUGAAUUCAUUUAGCAUUAUUAGAUUCUGUUCUCCAUUUACGCAAAUGAAAUAGGACCUUAAAUGGAAAUAAGUACAAAUGAAAUAUGACCCUAAAUGGAAUUUAUCAUGAUCACCAUAUUGUAACUUAAGGAAAAAGGGAAAUCUCUAUUUAGAUGUUUUUUCACAAUUAUCAUGCCAUGUAUAAGUAAUUUUUUCCACCAAAAACGAAAAAAACAAUUCACAAAGUUUAUCCAAAAAGGCGAACCGGUGGCAGUAACUUUGAUGUUUUUAUUUUACAAUUAAAUAUGACAGUUGGAAUGGGGAAACUUCUGAAGCCUCCUCUGGUCCACCUGCUCUUGAUGUCACACGUGGCAGCUGUCCCUGCAUUGUUCUGAGUCACAUUUAGGCUACCGCUGCUGCUGCUGCUGAUGAUACUGAUGCACCAGACUGCUGAGGCUCAUCUUUCUUCUGCAACAUCUCUUCUGAGCUAGGCUCCUGCACCCACUGCUUUGAUCCACCUUGUGAAGGGUACAGUUUUAUUAGGUUUGUUUCCAAGUUGUGCGUUUACUGAUGACAUGGUGGGGUUGGUUUGAUUUCCAUAACAGCCAUGAUCACUGCCGUCCUUCUUGAACCCUGGGGACCCCCACAAAGUCCUUGUCGCACUUGUUCAUCCACUGGGUUAAAGAUCCUCCUAAAGCUAUAAAAGGCUUCCUCAUAAUUUGCCUUUUGUUUUGCCACUCCUAGCCCCUCUUUAUACAACUUGCCUAAAUAUCUGAACCCCAAUAUUGUACGUACUAUAAAUUUUUUUCCCAGAAAGAUUCUGAGCCCCUAUCAUUGGAUUUAAAUAAACAUCAGGACAGGAAAGGUCAGAUAAUUCCAUCAGUAAAACAUAUCUGAACUCCAUCUCCCACCAAGAAAGCACUCCUGGUACUUCAGUAGUUUUUGGUUUUUUAAAUUAGAAUAGCCAACCACAUAAUUUGGGGUCCUAAAACAAAGUGUACAACUGCAGUAUUCUUGAAGUGAUCAAGAAUCAUGAAACAUAAAAAUCUCAUAGCCAAGAGCACAUUAGACACUGAUCUGUUUCUUUAGAUUGAGGUCGUAUUUUAAUGGAAGCAUACUUGGUUAAAGAUGAAGUGACCCUUUAUUGAUUUGUUUAAUGAAAUAUUCUGUUUCCAUAUAAUGAGGACAACAGCAUUUGUCUAAUAUCUAUCUAGAGGGGUAUCUAUCUAACACCUAAAUGUCUACCUAAUAUCUAAAUGGAGGGAUUUCCCUUCUUCCUUAAGUUACACUAAUUGUGAUUGUAUUAAUUUCCACUCAAGGUCAUAUUUCAUUUGUAGUUAUUGUACUUAUUUCCCUUUAAGGUCAUAUUUCAUUUGCAUAAAUGGAAAACAAAAUCUAAUAAUGCUAAAUGAAUUUGGUAAUCUUUAGGAAGUAACCAGUUCCUUUAAAUAUAAACACACUAUAUUCAUUCCUUCUCUAUUAAAUUAUACUCUUUUAUUCUCCAGCAUGAUAGAAAAUAAUAGGAUAAAUUAGUACAUGUAUUUGUUACUGCUCUUAAGGUAAAAUUUUAAAAUCCUUUAUCUAGUUUAUGAGAAUCUGGCCCCAGUUUAUCUCUCAAGCUGGAUUUUCUUCCUCUUUCUCCUAACUAUAAGUACUAAAGCCAAACCAGACUUCUUUCAGCUCCUUCAACACUGUGAUUUUGCUUAGCUCCCAGCCUUUGCCUAGCCUCUUUCCUCCACCCAGAAUGUUCUUAUCCAACCCCAUCUUCACCCAGCACUCUUGUCCUUUCUUCAAGACUUAGCUUAAAUAUCACACCAUCAAAGGUCCCCAUCCUCCACCCAGCUGCUACAACCAGAUUAAGUGCCCGCAUUACAAACUCCUCAGACCAACAUUUAACUUGACCACCACCAUUGACCAACACUUAACACAGUCUCUGGCACAUGGUAGGUGCUCAAUGAAUAAUUAUUGAGCUGUAAUAAACAUUUCUGUAGUGUAAUAUCAAUAUGGUUUGUUAGGCUAGAGGUGAAAGCAUAUUUAUUACCCAAUUUCAAUUACAUAGCACAAAUAAUCUUUGAUCCCAAACAUCUCCUUCAAUCAAAAACUUUAUGAUUUUAAAAAAUAUGCUGGUGACAGUUCAUUUCACGCGUCCACUUGGUUAGGCUACAGUGCCCAGUUGUUUGGUCAACUGGUCUAGCUGUAAAGGUAUUUUGUAAAUGUGACUAACCUUCACAAUCAGUUGACUUUAAGUAAAAGAGAUUAUCUUCAAUAAUGUAGAUGGGCCUCCUUCAAUAAGUUGAAGACCUUAAGAGCAAAAACUGAGAUUUUGGAUAAGGAGGGAUUCUGCAAGAUUAACAUAGAAAUCCUGCCUGAAUUUCUAGUCUACCAGCCUGCCUUACAGUUUUCAGACUCAAAACUGCAACAUCAACUCUUACCCGAGCUUCCAGUUUUCCAGCCUGCUGAAACCCAUAAAUGCAUAGAUAAACAAAUGAAUGAAUAAACGCUAAGUCCAUGUGAAAAUUUAUCUAUAAUUCUUUUUUUUUUUUGUAAGAUUGGCACCUGAGCUAACAACUUCUUCUUCUUUUUGUUUUUUCUUUCUUUCUGCUUUUUCUCCCCAAAUUCCCCCAGUGCACAGUUGUAUAUUUCAGUUGUGGGUCCUUCUAGUUGUGGUACAUAGGACGCUGCCCCAACACGGCCUGACGAGCAGUGCCAUGUCUGCACCCAGGAUCCGAACCAGCCAAACCCUGGGCCACCGCAGUGGAGUGCUCGAACUUAACCACUGGGUCACGGGGCCGGCCUCCUGUAAUUCUUUUUAAAUAAUAGCAUUAGCUCAAUCACAUAUCAGUAUCAAUUGGUGUUAUAUAUUUCUGUAAGAUGUCCUGGAAAGUAGUAAAAGAGUAAAGAAUAUCUACUUUCUAUCUAGCUACCUAUCAUCUAUCUAUCUAUCUAUCUAUCUAUCUACCCUUCCUAUGAUCUUUUAGGGUAAUAUAUAACAUUGACCAAAGUAGAAUAUAUUACUUAACUCAGUGUGACUCCCAAAUCUGAAAAUAUAUUUUGAAUUGCAACCCUUUGCGCUCAUCAUACGAUAAAUUUUAAGGUUUACUGCAUUGUUUUAAUAUUUUAUUGCUAUCUUUCUCCUUAAUAUGUAUGAUAUUUGUGUACAACUGGCAAAAAUUAUAGUCUUCAUUCAUGUUAGUAAAUUUUGGCUGACUCACCAUUCUAGAGAACUCAUAAAAACAACUUCAUUAACAUAUGGUAUAUAGAAUUUCUUUACUCUGUUGUUAAUAUUUCCUUUGAAGCUUUUAAAAUUCAGUGGUACCAAGUGUAACACCACUAUAUUUCAAUCUUAUCUAGUUUUUUGAGGUUCUGAAAAGAAGCUGACAACCACAAAAUGAAUUCUGCUUUACUCAUAUACAGCAUAGCAUGGGGUGGGGGUGUCCUACCUGGAGUCAAUUAUUCUGUGAGAAGUAAAGCCUGAGAAUUUCCAAAUUGCUGUUGUUAUUGGAGACUUUUUAACUUUUUGUUAUGAAAAAUAGUAUUUUCAAUAUCCAAUAUUGAACUAGCCAUUUCAAACAUAUAAAAUUCAACUUAAUAGUAUAAUGAUACUCAUCUUCUCAUCACCCACUUCCAACAUUAUCUGCUCAAAGACAAUCUUGUUUCAUCUAUACCCCGACACAUUCCCCACACCCACGUUAUUUUGAAGCAAGCCCAGACAUUAUAUAGUUUUAUUCUGCAGUGUCUUAGUAUGUAUCUCUAAAAGAUAAGAACUCCGGAAAUAAAAUAG
This is a long non-coding RNA of Equus caballus (horse), 4539 nucleotides long. NCBI's taxonomy places the organism in Eukaryota, Metazoa, Chordata, Mammalia, Perissodactyla, Equidae. The record is from Ensembl.